This 253-nucleotide ribosomal RNA is filed under the name uncultured bacterium. RNAcentral describes it as "partial 16S ribosomal RNA". It matches the Rfam family "Bacterial small subunit ribosomal RNA", at positions 524 to 776 of the family's 1533-position model. The record is from RNAcentral.
UACGUAGGGUGCGAGCGUUGUCCGGAAUUAUUGGGCGUAAAGGGCUCGUAGGCGGUUUGUCGCGUCGGGAGUGAAAUCCACUGGCUUAACUGGUGGCUUGCUUUCGAUACGGGCAGACUGGAGGUAUGCAGGGGAGAACGGAAUUCCUGGUGUAGCGGUGAAAUGCGCAGAUAUCAGGAGGAACACCGGUGGCGAAGGCGGUUCUCUGGGCCUGUACUGACGCUGAGGAGCGAAAGCGUGGGGAGCGAACAGG